Molecule: ribosomal RNA, 229 nt
Filed under: uncultured bacterium
Lineage: Bacteria
Description: partial 16S ribosomal RNA
Rfam family: Bacterial small subunit ribosomal RNA
Source: RNAcentral
UACGUAGGCGGGAAAUUAAGUCAGUAGUGAAAUCCCACAGCUUAACUGUGGAACUGUUAUUGAUACUGGUUUUCUUGAAUAUAGUUGAGGUAGGCGGAAUGUGUAAUGUAGCGGUGAAAUGCUUAGAUAUUACACAGAACACCGAUUGCGAAGGCAGCUUACUAAGCUAUGAUUGACGCUGAGGUACGAAAGCGUGGGGAGCGAACAGGAUUAGAUACUCUGGUAGUCC